Molecule: ribosomal RNA, 378 nt
Filed under: uncultured bacterium
Lineage: Bacteria
Description: bacterial SSU rRNA
Rfam family: Bacterial small subunit ribosomal RNA
Source: RNAcentral
GAGUUUGAUCCUGGCUCAGAACGAACGCUGGCGGCAGGCUUAACACAUGCAAGUUGAACGUGAUUUGUUGGGUGCUUGCACCGAGCAAUGAAAGUAGCGCACUGGUGAGUAACACGUGGGAACGUACCUUUUGGUGGGGAACAACAGUUGGAAACGACUGCUAAUACCGCAUAAGCCCUGAGGGGGAAAGAUUUAUCGCCGAAAGAACGGCCCGCGGAAGAUUAGGUAGUUGGUGGGGUAACGGCCUACCAAGCCGACGAUCUAUAGCUGGUCUGAGAGGACGAUCAGCCACAUUGGAACUGAGACACGGUCCAAACUCCUACGGGAGCAGCAGUGAGAAUAUUGGGCAAUGGAGGCAACUCUGACCCAGCCAUGCCG